GUAUUUAUUUAUGAUAUAUUUAUAAUUUCAGACAAAAUUUUAAGGCGUUGAUUAAAAAUUCUGGGAGGUUGGUAUAUAUAUAUAUACAAAUACCAAAUCCAUCCCAAAGUAGUUUUCAAUAGGUGCACACAAGGUGGGUAUGGAUACUUGAAUCCAUGUGGGUUCAAAUUGUUAAUGAUCCUUCCGCAGGUUCACCUACGGAAA
RNAcentral lists this unclassified non-coding RNA (204 nucleotides) under uncultured fungus. Its description in RNAcentral is "sequence contains ITS1". The record is from RNAcentral. Lineage: Eukaryota; Fungi.